RNAcentral lists this ribosomal RNA (327 nucleotides) under uncultured Bacillota bacterium. Its description in RNAcentral is "bacterial SSU rRNA". It matches the Rfam family "Bacterial small subunit ribosomal RNA", at positions 28 to 351 of the family's 1533-position model. The record is from RNAcentral. Lineage: Bacteria; Bacillati; Bacillota.
GACGAACGCUGGCGGCGUGCCUAACACAUGCAAGUCGAGCGGGGAGAAGAAUUCGUUUUUCUCUUUAGCGGCGGACGGGUGAGUAACACGUGGGUAACCUGCCUCAAAGUGGGGGAUAGCCUUCCGAAAGGAAAAUUAAUACCGCAUAAUAUCAGAGCGCUGCAUGGCGCUGUGAUUAAAGGAGCAAUCCGCUUUUGAGAUGGACCCCGCGGCGCAUUAGCUAGUUGGUGAGGUAACGGCCCACCAAGGCGACGAUGCGUAGCCGACCUGAGAGGGUGAUCGGCCACAUUGGAACUGAGACACGGUCCAGGACUCCUACGGUGGCUG